UAACCUACCCAUCAGAGGGGGAUAACACUUGGAAACAGGUGCUAAUACCGCAUAACAGUUUAUGCCGCAUGGCAUAAGAGUGAAAGGCGCUUUCGGGUGUCGCUGAUGGAUGGACCCGCGGUGCAUUAGCUAGUUGGUGAGGUAACGGCUCACCAAGGCCACGAUGCAUAGCCGACCUGAGAGGGUGAUCGGCCACACUAGGACUGAGACACGGCCCAG
This 219-nucleotide ribosomal RNA is filed under the name uncultured bacterium. RNAcentral describes it as "partial 16S ribosomal RNA". It matches the Rfam family "Bacterial small subunit ribosomal RNA", at positions 122 to 334 of the family's 1533-position model. The record is from RNAcentral.